RNAcentral lists this transfer RNA (72 nucleotides) under Leontynka pallida. RNAcentral's name for it is "tRNA-Trp". It matches the Rfam family "tRNA". From Rfam's summary of the family: Transfer RNA (tRNA) molecules are approximately 80 nucleotides in length. Their secondary structure includes four short double-helical elements and three loops (D, anti-codon, and T loops). The record is from RNAcentral. Lineage: Eukaryota; Viridiplantae; Chlorophyta; Chlorophyceae; Chlamydomonadales.
AGAAGAGUGGCUCAACGGCAGAGCGCCUGAUUCCAAAUCAGGAGGUUGUGGGUUCGAGUCCCAUCUUUUCUG